UAAGCGGAGGAAAAGAAACUAACAAGGAUUCCCCUAGUAACGGCGAGUGAAGCGGGAAGAGCUCAAAUUUGUAAUCUGGCCUUUUCAAGGUCCGAGUUGUAAUCUCGAGAAGUGUUUUCCGCGUCGGACUGCAUAAAAGUCUAUUGGAAUAUAGCGUCAUAGUGGUGAGAGCCCCGUACUUGAUGCAGAUGCCCGAUGCUUUGUGAUACACUUUCGAAGAGUCGAGUUGUUUGGGAAUGCAGCUCAAAAUUGGUGGUGAAUUUCCAUCUAAAGCUAAAUAUUGGCGAGAGACCGAUAGCGAACAAGUACCGUGAGGGAAAGAUGAAAAGCACUUUGGAAAGAGAGUUAAACAGUAUGUGAAAUUGUUGGAAGGGAAACGCUUGAGGUCAGUCUUGCUCUGUCGGAAUUCAGGCCGUCUCUGGCGGUUGUACUUCCUUCGAUUUGACGGGUCAGCAAUCAGUUUAGGUCGGGCGUGAUAAAAGGCAGUGAAGAGAAGGUUGGGCACCCCUCGUGGUUGUGUUAAUUAAGCUCUUUCCUUGUUUGCAUUUUUCGCUGGACCUGAGGAUCGCAUUGCGCAAGUGGUGACUUGCAGCCUCGGCCUUUUAUGGCCGGGGGUUUCGCCCACGUUCGAGCUUAGGAUGUAGACCAUACAUGGCCUUCAACGACCC
This 668-nucleotide ribosomal RNA is filed under the name fungal sp. UFMGANT 386. Its description in RNAcentral is "eukaryotic LSU rRNA". It matches the Rfam family "Eukaryotic large subunit ribosomal RNA", at positions 47 to 650 of the family's 3401-position model. Lineage: Eukaryota; Fungi. The record is from RNAcentral.